This is a long non-coding RNA of Lolium rigidum, 910 nucleotides long. RefSeq lists it as uncharacterized. The record is from RefSeq and is a predicted model, not a curated record. Lineage: Eukaryota; Viridiplantae; Streptophyta; Magnoliopsida; Poales; Poaceae. The transcript is spliced from 4 exons.
CACUGCAUAGGAGCUCCAAUGGGGUCCUCGCUCCUUGUUUUCUCGCGGACGACCUCUACACCAGUACGUCACCAUGCCACCACGAGCCCCAUCGCUCCCUCCUCUCCAAGGAACAGCUGCAUAUAUUGGGAUUGCCAAAUAGAAGAGGUCACCUGGGAGUGGAUUCAGGAGAUGAAAGAUUCCAUGAUGACUCUGUUGGAGCAUACCAAUUGCAUGGACAAGUAUUGCAGCUGGUUAAUUUGUUGCUUGCCAAUUUUUAUUCCAUUAUCCAUGAAAGUGUUCUGAUAUAUAAUAUAAUUAAGGUGUUCCAUCCACGGACACUCAACAAGCAGUAAGAUUGGAUGAUACUUAGUUUAACCAAAGAUUUCCAAGUCCUAAGGUGCUGGUUCCAGUUGUUGAAAGAGCCCAGCAGCUUCGUGGCGGCAGUGCGUCUUCUGCUCUUUCCGUAUGAUAUAUAGCUCUCAUGUGGUUUUGUAUUCUGUGUUUCUUACCUUUGCAAUGGUUAUCUUUGACAGAGACUGUAAAUUUCCUAAUGAUUUUCCUCUUAUUGUAGAUUUCCUCUAUAGUGUCCGUGUCUCAUGUUGUUUUCCUGAUGCUUGUAGGCUUUUGUCGAUAUGUAGAAUGAAGCAUAGAUUAUUUUGCACUUCAUUUCUGAAGUUUAUAAAAAAAGAGGAGAUUCCUACCUCUUAAUAAAGUUGUGUCCAAUGUCCUCCCUGUGUUGGCGAUGACCCAGGCAAUUAGCAUUCCAGAGUAUGACUCAGACAACAAACCAUUCCAAGAGACAGUUAAACCUAUGGUAGAUGGUGGAACAGAAGGUUUCGAAGGUUAUGCUAGAGUCAUUAUGCCAAGGAUAACACCUUGUUUUGAGCGCAACAUAUGGAUUUUCUCUCCCUAUAUAAAGUUUCCAUUA